Molecule: ribosomal RNA, 292 nt
Filed under: uncultured bacterium
Lineage: Bacteria
Description: partial 16S ribosomal RNA
Rfam family: Bacterial small subunit ribosomal RNA
Source: RNAcentral
GUGUCAGCCGCCGCGGUAAUACGGAGGGUGCAAGCGUUAUCCGGAAUCAUUGGGUUUAAAGGGUCCGCAGGCGGUCUUAUAAGUCAGUGGUGAAAGCCUACAGCUCAACUGUAGAACUGCCAUUGAUACUGUAAGACUUGAAUUCGAUCGAAGUGGGCGGAAUAUGACAUGUAGCGGUGAAAUGCUUAGAUAUGUCAUAGAACACCGAUAGCGAAGGCAGCUCACUAGGUCUGGAUUGACGCUCAGGGACGAAAGCGUGGGGAGCAAACAGGAUUAGAAACCCUUGUAGUCC